AUUCUCGCCCGUCCACUCCCAGCGUAAAGAGGAUUCCGCGACUCGGAGACCGCAAUCUACCCGCCAGUCUCCAUAACGUAGGCCAGAGCAGCUGGGCUAAAUAAAACAGAGCCGGGGCUCUCCCUUCCCGAAGGCCUACAUCGCCCACUGGUCCGGGCUCGGAGCUCAGCAGAACCAGAGUAGGAGCGGUUGUUGCCGGCACGGAGGAGGGAGAGCGCUUGUGACGCUACGAACCUCUCGAACACCUGACGACUGGGCGCCAGGGCCGGAUGGAGGGUGGAGAGCCAGUGCGGCGCAGCUGCCUCCUCUUAACGGGGACACCUUGCAGGAAUGUGCGGAGUGGAGCUAACGGGAGCGGAUAGAAACCGAGGGAGGGGAAGAGAGCGCGAAGGCUUGGCCGGAAGGAGAGGUUAAAAAGGAAAGGCCUAAAAUGAGGAAGAGAGUUACCACAACAAGCAGUACCUAGUUCCAGUUCUUGGUCCCAGGAGUUUGUGGUUGUUGCUGCUUUCAUCUUCCUCAGCCAACACAAAAGGAAAGUGCCAAGGGGCGAUUCCUAGGACCUUCAGUGCAGUCUCCACCUUGCGGACUUGGCUCAUUUGUGUCCACUCCUUUCUCCAGCCUUUUACACUUGAUGCUCUUGGAUGAAUAGAAAGGAGCACAAUUAAUGGAAAACACAAGCUUGGGAGUCAAGGGAUUUGGGUUCUAUUCUUGUCCUCCCUUGGUGACGACAUCAUUACCUUGGGUUAUUCAAGCUUUCAGUGCCAGAGUUCCUAUAUCAAUAAAAGAUUAUUACAUUGACCUCUUAGAGAAAUGUUUUCAUGGUACUGAAUUGCAAAUAAAGUAUGUGUAGCGAUGUGUUA
Molecule: long non-coding RNA, 860 nt
Filed under: Homo sapiens (human)
Lineage: Eukaryota; Metazoa; Chordata; Mammalia; Primates; Hominidae
Description: HSALNT0342590
Source: RNAcentral